CCAAUAGCGUAUAUUAAAGUUGUUGCAGUUGAAAAGCUCGUAGUUGAAUUUCGGGAUUGACACAUCGGUCGUGCCCUAAGGGGUAUGAACUGGUGUAGUCAAUUUCUCACCUUCUGGAGAACCGCGAUGCCCUUAAUUGGGUGUCGCGGGGAACCAGGACCUUUACUUUGAAAAAAUUAGAGUGUUUAAAGCAGGCAUUUUGCUUGAAUACAUUAGCAUGGAAUAAUAAAAUAGGACGGCAUGAUUUUAUUUUGUUGGUUUCUAGGAACAACGUAAUGAUUAAUAGGGAUAGUUGGGGGCAUUAGUAUUCAAUUGUCAGAGGUGAAAUUCUUGGAUUUAUUGAAGACUAACUACUGCGAAAGCAUUUGCCAAGGAUGUUUUCAUUAAUCAAGAACGAAAGUUAGGGGAUCGAAGACGAUCAGAUACCGCCGUAGUCUUAACCAUAAACUAUGCCGACUAGGAAUCAGACGAUGUUAAUUUUUUAAUGACUCGUUUGGCACCUUACG
Molecule: ribosomal RNA, 506 nt
Filed under: uncultured Glomeromycotina
Lineage: Eukaryota; Fungi; Glomeromycota
Description: partial small subunit ribosomal RNA
Rfam family: Eukaryotic small subunit ribosomal RNA
Source: RNAcentral